RNAcentral lists this ribosomal RNA (614 nucleotides) under uncultured fungus. RNAcentral's name for it is "LSU rRNA". It matches the Rfam family "Eukaryotic large subunit ribosomal RNA", at positions 23 to 664 of the family's 3401-position model. The record is from RNAcentral. Lineage: Eukaryota; Fungi.
ACCCGCUGAACUUAAGCAUAUCAAUAAGCGGAGGAAAAGAAACCAACUGGGAUUGCCUUAGUAACGGCGAGUGAAGCGGCAACAGCUCAAAUUUGAAAUCUGGCCUCGGCCCGAGUUGUAAUUUGAAGAGGAUGCUUUGGAGUCGUCCCUGGUCUAAGUUCCUUGGAACAGGACGUCGCAGAGGGUGAGAGUCCCGUACGCGGCCGGGUGCCUUCUCCGUGUAAAGCUCCUUCGACGAGUCGAGUUGUUUGGGAAUGCAGCUCUAAAUGGGAGGUAUAUUUCUUCUAAAGCUAAAUACCGGCCAGAGACCGAUAGCGCACAAGUAGAGUGAUCGAAAGAUGAAAAGCACUUUGGAAAGAGAGUCAAAAAGUACGUGAAAUUGUUGAAAGGGAAGCGUUUGCGGCCAGACUUGAUGGCGGUUGCUCAGCCGGUCUUUGCCCGGUGCACUCUUCCGCCUUCAGGCCAGCAUCAGUUUGGACGGCUGGAUAAAGGCUUUGGGAACGUAGCUCCUCGGAGUGUUAUAGCCCUUUGCAUAAUACAGCCUGCCCGGACUGAGGACAGCGUUUGCUAGGAUGCUGGCGUAAUGGCAGCCAACGGCCCGUCUUGAAACACGG